This 6987-nucleotide long non-coding RNA is filed under the name Homo sapiens (human). RNAcentral's name for it is "HSALNT0149500". Lineage: Eukaryota; Metazoa; Chordata; Mammalia; Primates; Hominidae. The record is from RNAcentral.
AUUUGUAGUGCUUUGAGGCCUAUGGUGGAAAUGGAAUUAUCUUCAAAUAAAAACUAGAUGGAAGCAUUCUGAGAAACUUCUUUGUGAUGUGUGCAUUCAUCUCCCAGAGUUGAAUAUUUCUUUUGAUGGAGCAGCCUUGAAAUACUCCUUUUGUAGUAUCUGCAAGUGGACAUUUUGAGUACUUUGAGGCCUAUGGUGGAAAAUGAAAUAUCUUCACAUAAAAAUUAGACAGAAGAAUUCUGAGAAACUUCUUUGUGAUGGGUGCCUUCUUUGCACAGAGUUGAACGUCUCUUUUGAUUGACCGGGAUGGAAACACUGUUUUUGCAGAAUCUGCAAGUGGAAAUUUGGUGUGCUUUGCUUCCUAUGGUAGAAAAGGAAAUAUCUUCACAUAAAAACUAGACAGAAGAAUUCUGAGAAACUUCUUUGUCAUGUGUGCAUUUGUCUCUCAGAGUUUAACGUUUCUGUUCAUUGAGCAGUUUUGAAACUCUCUUUUUGUAGGAUCUGCAAGUGGACAUUUGGGGCGCUUUGACACCUAUGGUGGAAAAGGAAAUAUCUUCCCAUAAAAAACAGACAGAAGAAUUCUGAGAAAUUACUUUGUGAUGUGUGCACUCAACUGACAGAGUUAAACCUUUCUUUUGAUUGAGCAGUUUGGAAACACUCUUUUUUGUAGAAUCUGCAAGUGGACAUUUGGAGUGCUUAGUGGCCUAUGUUAGAAAAGGAAAUAUCUUCACAUAAAAUCUAGACAGAAGCAAUCUGAGAAACUUCUUUGUGAUGCGUGCAUUCAUCUCACAGAGUUCAACAUUUCUUUUGAUUGAGCAGUUUGGAAACACUCUUUUUGUAGAAUCUGCAAGUAGACAUUUGGAGAACUUUGCAGCCUCUGGUAGAAAAGGAAAUAUCUUCACAUAAAAUCUGGACAGAAGCAAUCUGAGAAGCUUCUUUGUGAUGUGUGCAUUCAUCUCAUAGAGUUAAAACUUUAUCUUGAUUGAGCAAUUUUGAAACUCUCUUUUUGUAGAAUCUGCUAGUGGACAUUUGGAGUGCUUUGAGUCUUAUGAUUAAAAAGGAAAUAUCAUCACACAAAAACUAGACUGAAGAAUUUGGAGAAACUUCUUUGUAAUGUGUGCAUUCAUCGCUCAGAGUUGAACCUUUCUUUUGAUUGAGCAGUUUGGAAACACUUUUUUUUUUAAUCUGCAAGUGGACAUUUAGAGCGCUUUGCAGCCUAUGGUAGAAAAGGAAAUAUCUUCACAUAACAUCUAGACAGAAGCAAUCUGAGAAACUUCUUUGUGAUGUGUGCAUUCUUCCCAUAGAGUUAAACCUUCAUUUUGAUUGAGGAGUUUUGAAACUCUCUUUUUGUAGAAUCUGCAAGUAGACAUUUGGAGCGCUUUGACGCCUACGGUGGAAAGGAAAUAUCUUCACAUAAAAACUAGACAGAAGAAUUCUGACAAACUUCUUUGUGAUGUGUGCUGUCAUCUCACAGAUUUGAAAAUUUCUUUUGAUUCAUCAGUUUGGAAACACUCUUUUUGUUGAAUCUACAAAUGGACAUCUGGAGCACUUUUUGUCCUAUGGAAGAAAAUGAAGUAUCUUCACAUAAAGUCUAGACAGAAACAAUCUGAGAAACUUCUCUCUGACAUGUGCAUUCAUCUCACAGAGUUAAACAUUUCUUUUGAUUGAGGAGUUUUGAAACUCUCUUUUUGCAGAAUCUGCAAGUGGACAGUUGGAGCCCUUUGAGGCCUAUGGUGGAAAAGGAAAUAUCUUCACAUAAAAACUAGACAGAAGAAUUAUGAGAAACUUCUUUGUGAUACGUGUGUUCAUCUCACAGAGUUGAACUUUUCUUUUGAUUGAGCAGUUUGGAAACACUCUUUUUGUACAACCUGCAAGUGUACAUUUGGUGCACUCUGUGGCCUACAGUAGAAAAGGAAAUACCUUCACAUAAAACCUAGACAGAAGCAAUCUGAGAAACUUCUUUGUGAUAUGUGUAUUCAACUCACAGAGUUAAACCUUUCUUUUGAUUGAGCAGUUCUGAAACUCUUUCUGUAGAAUCUUCAAGUGGACAUUUGGAGCGGUUUGAGGCCUAUGGUGGAAAAGUAAAUAUCUUCACAUAAAAACUGGACAGAAGAAUUCUGAGAAACUUCUUUGUGAUAUGUGAAUUCGUCUCACAGAGUUGAGCCUUUCUUUUGAUUGAGCAGUUUGGAAUCACUCUUUUUGUAGAAUCUGCAAGUGGACAUUUGGAGUGCUUUGCGGCCUGUUGUAGAAAGGGAAAUAUCUUCAUAUCACAUCUAGACAGAAGCAAUCUGAGAAACUUCUUUAUGAUGUGUGCAUUCAUCUCAUAGAGUUAAACCUUUCUUUUGAUUGAGCAGUUUUGAAACUCUCUUUUUGUAGAAACUGCAAGUGGACAUUUGGAGCGCUUUGAGGCCUAUGGUGGAAAAGGAAAUAUCUUCACAUAAAAACUAGACAGAAGAAUUCUGAGAAACUUCUUUGUGAUUUGUGCAUUCAUCUCACAGAGUUAAACUUUUCUUUUUAUUGAGCAGUUUGGAAAGCCUCUGUUUGUAGAAUCUGCAAGUGGAUAUUUGGAACGCUUUGCAGCCUAUAGUAGAAAAGGAAAUAUCUUCACAUAAAAUCUAGAAAGAAGCAAUCUGUGAAACUUCUUUGUGAUGUGUGCAUUCAUCUCACAGAGUUAAGCCUUUCUUUUGACUGACCAGUUUUGAAACUCUCUUUUUGUAGUAUCUGUAAGUGGACAAUCUGAACACUUGGAGGCCUCAGCUGGAAAAGGAAAUAUCUUCAUGUAAAACUAGACAGAAGAAUUCUGAGAAACUUCAUUGUGAUAUGUGCGUUCAUCUCACAGAGUUGAAGCUUUCUUUUUAUUAAGCAGAUUGGAAACACGCUUUUUGUAGAAUCUGCAACUGGACAGUUAGAGCGAUUUGUGGCCUACUGUAGAAAAGGAAACAUCUUCACAUAAAAUCCAGACAGAAGCAAUCUGAAAAACUUCUUUGUGAUGUGUGCAUUCAUCUCACAGAGUUAACCCUUCCUUUUGAUUGAGGCGUUUUGAAACUCUCUUUUUGUGGAAUCUGCAAGUGGACAUUUGGAGCGUCUUCAGGCCUAUGGUGGAAAGGAAAUAUCUUCACUUAAAAACUAGACAGAAGAAUUCUGAGAAAAUUCUUUGUGAUGUGUGCAUUCAUCUCACAGACUUGAGCCUUUCUUUUGAUUGAGCAGUUUGAAAACACUCUUUUUGUAAAAUCUGCAAGUGGACAUUUGGAGUGCUUUGCAGCCUUUGCUAGAAAAGGAAAUAUCUUCACAUAGAAUCUAGACAGAAGCAAUCUGAGAAACUUCUUUGUGAUGCAUGCAUUCGUCUCACAGAGUUCAACAUUUCUUUUGAUUGAGCAAUUUGGAAACACUCUUUUUGUAGAAUCUGCAGGUAGAUAUUUGGAGCACGUUGCGGCCUGUGGUAGAAAAGGAAAUAUCUUCACAUAAAAUCUGCACAGAAGCAACCUGAGAAACUUCUUUGUGAUGUGUGCAUUCAUCUAAUAGAGUUAAAACUUCAUCUUGAUUGAGCAGUUUUGAAACUCUCUUUUUGUAGAAUGUGGUAGUGGACAUUUGGAGUGCUUUGAGUCUUAUGAUUAAAAAGGAAAUAUCAUCACACAAAAACUAGACUGAAGAAUUUGGAGAAACUUUUUUUGUGAUGCGUGCAUUCAUUGAUCAGAGUUGAACAUGACUUUUGAUUGAGCAGUUUGGAAACACUCUUUUUGUUGAAUCUACAAGUGGACAUUUGGAGCGCUUUGCAGCCUACGGUAGAAAAGGAAAUAUCUUCACAUAAAAUCUAGACAGAAACAAUCUGAGAAACUUCCCUGUGAUGUGUGCAUUCAUCUCACAGAGUUCAACUUUUCUUUUGAUUGAGCAGUUUGGAAACACUCUUUUUGUAGAAACUGCAAGUGGACAUUUGGUGCACUUUGAGGCCUACGGUAGAAAAGGAUAUAUCUUCAUAUAAAAUGUAGACAGAAGCAAUCUGAGAAACUUCUUUGCAAUGUGUGCAUUCAUCUCACAGAGUUAAACCUUUCUUUUGAUUGAACAGCUUUGAAACUCUUUUUGUACAAUCUACAAGAGUACAUUUGGAACGCUUCGAGGCCUAUGGUGGAAAAGGAAAUAUCUUCACAUAAAAACUAGACAGAAAAAUUCUGAGAAAUUUCUUUGUGAUGUGUGAACUCAUGUCACAGAGUUAAACCUUUCUUUUGAUUGAGCAGUUUCAAAACUCUUUUUGUAGAAUCUGCAAGUGGACAUUUUUAGCGCUUUGAGGCCUAUGGUGGAAAGGAAAUAUCUUCACAUAAAAACUGGACAGAAGAAUUCUGAGAAAGUUCUUUGUGAUGUGUGCGUUUGUCUCACAGAGUUGAACCUUUCUUUCAAUUGAGCAGUGUGGAAACACUGUUUUUGUAGAACCUGCAAAUGGACAUUUGGAGUGCUUUGUGGCCUAUGGUAGAAAAGGAAUUAUCUUCACAUAAAAUCUAGACAGAAGCUAUCUGAGAAACUUCUUUGUGACUUGUGCAUUCAUCUCGUGGAGUUAAACCUUUCUUUUGAUUGAGCAGUUUUGAAACUCUCUUUUUGCAGAAUCUGCAAGAGUACAUUUGGAACGCUUUGAGGCCUAUGGUGGAAAAUGAAAUAUCUUCACAUAAAAACUAGACAGAAUAAUUCUGAGAAACUUCUUUGUGAUGUGUGCAUUCAUCUCACAAUGUUAAACCUUUCUUUUGAUUGAGCAGUUUUGAAACUCUUUUUGUAGAAUCUGCACGUGGACAUUUUUAGCCUUUGAGGCCUAUGGUGGCAAGGAAAUAUCUUCAGAUAAAAACUGGACAGAAGCAAUCUGAGAAACUUCUUUGUUAUGUGUGCAUUCAUCUCACAGAGUUGAACCUUUCUUUUGAUUGAGCAGUUUGGAAACACUCUUUUUGUAGAAUCUGCAAGUGAACAUUUGAAGCGCUUUGCAGCCUAUGGUAGAAAAGGAAUUGUCUUCACAUAAAAUCUAGAGAGAAGCAAAACUUUCUUUUGAUUGAGUAGUUUUGAAACUCUCUUUUCGUAGAAACUGCAAGUGGACAUAUGGAGCGCUUUGAGGCCUAAGCUCUAAAAGGAAAUAACUUCCCAUAAAAACUAGACAGAAGAAUUCUGAGAAACUUCUUGUGAUGUGUGAGUUCAUCUCACAGAGUUGAACCUUUCUUUUAUUGAGCAGUUUGGAAACUCUCUUUUUGUGGAAUCUGCAAGUGGACACUUGGAGCGCUUUGCCGCCUGUGGUAGAAAAGGAAAUAUAUUCACAUAAAAUCUAGACAGAAGCAAUCUGAGAAACUUCUUUGUGAUGUGUGCAUUCAUCUCACAGAGUUAAACUUUUCUUUUGCUUGAGAAAUUUAGAAAGCUUCUGUUUGUAGAAUCUGCAAGUGGACAUUUAGAGCACUUUGCUGCCUAUGGUAGAAAAGGAAAUAUCUUCACAUAAAAUCUAGACUGAAGCAAUCUGAGAAAAUUCUUCGUGAUGUGUGCAUUCAUCUGACAGAGUUGAACCUUUCUUUUGAUUGAGCAGUUUGGAAACACUCUUUUAGUAGAAUCUGCAAGUGGAUAUUUGGGGCCCUUGGGGUCUGAAUGAUUGUCCCUCACAUAGGAUUGGUGAACACUGCUGCUGGGGUCUGAAUGUUUGUCCCUCACAUAGGAUCCCAGAACACUGCUGCUGGGGUCUAUAUGUAUGUCCGUCACGUGGGAUUCCAAAACACUGCUGCUGGGUUCUGACUGUUUCUCCCUCUCAUAGAAUUCCAUAGCACUGCGACGAGGUUCUGAAUGUUUGUCCGUAACAUAGGAUUCCAGAACCCCCCGCCUGUUGUUUAAAUGUUUGUCCCUCACAUUGGAUUCCAGAACACUGCUGCUGGAUUCUGAAUGUUUGUCACUCACAGAGGAUUCCAGAACACUGCUACUAUUGUCUGAAUGUUUGUCCCUCACAUAGGAUUCUAGAACCCUCCUAAGAGUGUGUGAAUGUUUGUUCCUCACAUAGAUUUCCAGAUCACUGCUACGAUUGUCUGAAUGUUUGUCCUACACUUAGGAUUCCAGAACACUGCUAUGACAGUCGAAUGAUUGUCCCUCACACAGAAUUCCAGAACACUGCUACGAGGGUCUGAAUGAUUGUCCCUCACAUAGGAUUCGAGGACACUGCUGCUGGGGUCUGAAUGUUUUUCCCUCACAUAGGAUCCUAGAACACUGUUGCUGGGGUCUACAUGUGUGUCUGUCACAUAGGAUUCCAAAACACUGCUGCUGGGUUCUGACUGUUUUUCCCUGACAUAGAAUUCAAGAACACUGCGACGAGGUUCUGAAUGUUUGUCCGUAACAUAGGAUUCCAGAACGCCCCCUCCCCGUAGCUUAAAUGUUUGUCCCUCACAUUGGAUUCCAGAACACUGCUACGAUCGUCUGAAUGUUUGUCCUUCACAUAGGAUUCCAAAACAUUGCUACGGGGGUCUGAAUGUUUGUUCUUCACAUAGGAUUCCAGAACACUCCUGCUGUGUUCUGAAUGUUAGUUCCUCCUAUAGGAUUCACGAACACUGUCACGAGGUUCUGAAUGUUUGUUCCGCACAUAGGAAUCCAAAACACUCCUGCUGUGUUCCGAGUGUUUGUCCCUCACAUGGGAUUCCAGAACAAUCCUGCCGUGGUCUGAAUGUGAGUCCCUCACAUAGGUUUCUGGAACACUGCUGCUGGGUUCUGUGUGUUUCUCCCUCACGUAGAAUUCCAUAACACUGUGAAGAGAUUAUUAAUGGUUGUCCGUAACAUAGGAUUCCAGAACAAUCUCGGUGUUGUUUGAAUGUUUUUCCCUUACAUAGGUUUCCAGAACACUGCUACGUUUGUCUGAAUGUUUGUCCCUCACAUAGGAUUCCAGAACACUGCUGGGAGGGUCUGAAUGUUUUUCCCUCACAUGGGAUUCCAGAACACUGCUAUGAUUGUCUGAAUGUUUGUCCCUCACUUAGGAUUCCAGAACACAGCCAC